RNAcentral lists this ribosomal RNA (497 nucleotides) under uncultured bacterium. Its description in RNAcentral is "partial 16S ribosomal RNA". It matches the Rfam family "Bacterial small subunit ribosomal RNA", at positions 28 to 507 of the family's 1533-position model. The record is from RNAcentral.
GAUGAACGCUGGCGGCGUGCCUAAUACAUGCAAGUCGAGCGAACGGACGAGAAGCUUGCUUCUCUGAUGUUAGCGGCGGACGGGUGAGUAACACGUGUAUAACCUACCUAUAAGACUGGGAUAACUUCGGGAAACCGGAGCUAAUACCGGAUAAUAUUUUGAACCGCAUGGUUCAAAAGUAAAAGACGGUCUUGCUGUCACUUAUAGAUGGAUCCGCGCUGCAUUAGCUAGUUGGUAAGGUAACGGCUUACCAAGGCAACGAUGCAUAGCCGACCUGAGAGGGUGACCGGCCACACUGGAACUGAGACACGGUCCAGACUCCUACGGGAGGCAGCAGUAGGGAAUCUUCCGCAAUGGGCGAAAGCCUGACGGAGCAACGCCGCGUGAGUGAUGAAGGUCUUCGGAUCGUAAAACUCUGUUAUUAGGGAAGAACAUAUGUGUAAGUAACUGUGCACAUCUUGACGGUACCUAAUCAGAAAGCCACGGCUAACUACGUG